This is a transfer RNA of Ovis aries (sheep), 73 nucleotides long. It matches the Rfam family "tRNA". Rfam says of the family: Transfer RNA (tRNA) molecules are approximately 80 nucleotides in length. Their secondary structure includes four short double-helical elements and three loops (D, anti-codon, and T loops). The record is from Rfam. Lineage: Eukaryota; Metazoa; Chordata; Mammalia; Artiodactyla; Bovidae.
UCCCGGGGAGCUCAGCUGGUAAAGAAUCUGCCUGCAAUGCAGGUGGACCCUGGUUCAAUUCCUGGGUUGGGAA